Molecule: long non-coding RNA, 473 nt
Organism: Vicia villosa (hairy vetch)
Lineage: Eukaryota; Viridiplantae; Streptophyta; Magnoliopsida; Fabales; Fabaceae
Exons: 2
Source: RefSeq, a predicted model, not a curated record
UCUGUAGGUUUUCCAUGUAUUGAAACUGAAAGAAGGACAAGAUAUUACAGCUCUUGCUCUAAAUAAGGAUAACACAAAUCUUUUGGUUUCAACUUCAGAUAAAAAAUUGAUUAUCUUCACUGAUCCAGCUUUAAGCUUGAAAGUGGUGGAUCAAAUGCUCAAACUUGGUUGGUAAGAGGAUGGACUUAGGCACCUCAUAAAGUCAGCUUUUAGAGUAUCCAAAAGUGAUGUAAAAAUCUUUUAUACAUAACAACUACUAGGAAUGUCAUAAUGGGGAUGUUGCACUCCUUUUUGUAAGCAAUUUUGUUAUGUUUUUAUGGUUUAGAAAUGUCUUGUAACAUAUGUAACAACUAACUCUUACCAAAACAAUAUUCGACUCUUAGGUAUAGCUUUAGUAUAAGGUUAGUCUGCUCUCCCAAUUGUGCUUAAGUGUAAAUAUUUUACAAGCUUCUAUCUGAGGUUUGGGCCAAUAA